UUGGUCUUUAACUUAGAGUUACAAGCACAGAAAUUAAGGACAGUUAGUCCUGAACUUAGAGUUCCAAGUUCAAAAAAUAAGGACAUAUAGUCCUGAACUUAGAGUUACAAGUUAAAAAGUUAAGGACAAAUAGUCCUAAACUUCAAGUUACAAGCACAGAAAUUAAGGACAGGUAGUCAUGAACUUAGAGUUCCAAGUUAAAAAAAUAAGGACAUGUAGUCCUAAAUUUAGAGUUACAAGUUAUAAAGUUAAGGACAUGUAGUCCUGAACUUAGAGUUACAAGUUAAAAAGUUAAGGACAGGUAGUCCUGAAAUUAGAGUUACAAGCUAAAAAGUUAAGGACAUGUAGUCCUGAACUUAGAGCUACAAGUUAAAAAGUUAAGGACAUGUAGUCUUGAACUUAGAGUUACAAGUUAAGAAGUUAAGGACAGGUAGUCCUAAACUUCAAGUUACAAGCUCACAAAUUAAGGACACUUGGUCUUUAACUUAGAGUUACAAGCACAGAAAUUAAGGACAUGUAGUCCUGAACUUAGAGUUACAAGUUAAAAAGUUAAGGACAUGUAGUCCUAAACUUAGAGUUACAAGUUAAAAAGUUAAGGACAGGUAGUCCUAAACUUCAAGU
Molecule: long non-coding RNA, 621 nt
Filed under: Nicotiana tabacum (common tobacco)
Lineage: Eukaryota; Viridiplantae; Streptophyta; Magnoliopsida; Solanales; Solanaceae
Description: long non-coding RNA (NTAB_LNC007143)
Source: RNAcentral